RNAcentral lists this transfer RNA (65 nucleotides) under Lipoptena sp. RNAcentral describes it as "tRNA-Glu". The record is from RNAcentral. Lineage: Eukaryota; Metazoa; Arthropoda; Insecta; Diptera; Hippoboscidae.
AUUUAUAUAGUUUAAAAAAAACAUUACAUUUUCACUGUAAUAAUAAAUAUCUAAUUUUAUAAAUU